AUUAGAAACUUGGUUCUCUGACUGGCGCGGGGGACGGGGGAGUAACAUAUGGGCGACCCGCCUGUGUCACGGGGAUUACUUCGGGAAACCUAACCUUAUACCGGAUAGGAUCUUCUCCUUGAAGGGAGAUGAUUGAAAGAUGGUUUCCGCUAUCAUUUACCGAUGGCCCCGCAGUGCAUUGGCUAGUUGGAGGGGUACCGGCUCACCAAUGCAACGAUGCAUAGACAACCUGAUCGGGUGAUCUGCCACUCUGGCACUGACCCAACUCCCACACUCCGACGGGAGGCAGAAUAUUGGAAUCUGCCCCAAUGCCCGAACCUCUGACAGAGCAAGGCCGAAUGAGGGAUUAAGGCUUUCAGGUCCUUUAGCUCUGUUGUAAAGGAAGAACAAUUACAACAGUAACUGCUGGCACCUUGACGGUACCUAACCACAAAGCCACUCCUAACUACGUGCCAGCAACCGCGGUAGUAGCUAGGUGGAAUGCGUUUUCCUGAAUUAUUGGGCGGAAAGCGCGCGCAUGCAAUUUCUUAGUUCUGAUGUGAAACUCCACGGGUCAACCGUGGAGGGUCAUGGGAAACUGGAGAACUUGAGAGCAUAACAGAAUUCCUGAAUUCCACGUGUAAAUGCUGAAAUGCGUAGAGAUGUGGAGGAACACCAGUGGCGAACGCGGCUUUUUGUUCUGUAACUGACGCUGAGGCGCGAAAGCGUGACGAGAAUACAUAUUAGAUACCCUGGUACUCCACCCAUAAACGAUGAGUGUUGAGUGUUAUAGGGUUUCAGCCCUUUAGUGCAGCAGCUAACGCAUUCAGCACUCCGACUGGGGUCGUAAGGUCUGCAAGACUGAAGCUCAGAGGAGUGACGCACCCCCGCAUGGACUAUGUGGUUUGUGGCUUUACUCGAAGCAACGCGUAACAUGGUCACUAGAUGUCGACGUACUCUGACGACUCUAAUGAUAGCCCUGCUGCACUCGAGGCACAGAGCUGACAUGGCGUUCAUCAUGUCGUCAGCUCGAGCUGGAAUAGUCGCACUACCGCACCAUCGUCACUAUGAUCUACUUGCAU
This 1061-nucleotide ribosomal RNA is filed under the name bacterium. RNAcentral describes it as "bacterial SSU rRNA". It matches the Rfam family "Bacterial small subunit ribosomal RNA", at positions 71 to 1092 of the family's 1533-position model. The record is from RNAcentral.